Molecule: ribosomal RNA, 625 nt
Filed under: uncultured bacterium
Lineage: Bacteria
Description: bacterial SSU rRNA
Rfam family: Bacterial small subunit ribosomal RNA
Source: RNAcentral
AGAGUUUGAUCAUGGCUCAGGAUGAACGCUGGCGGCGUGCUUAACACAUGCAAGUCGAACGGAGAGCCCGGGAAGGAGUUUUCGGACAACGGACUGGGUAUCUUAGUGGCGGACGGGUGAGUAACGCGUGAGUAACCUGCCUGGGAGUGGGGAAUAACACAGAGAAAUCUGUGCUAAUACCGCAUAAUGCAGUUGAGUCGCAUGGCUCUGACUGCCAAAGAUUUAUCGCUCUUAGAUGGACUCGCGUCUGAUUAGCUGGAUGGCGGGGUAGAGGCCCACCAUGGCGACGAUCAGUAGCCGGACUGAGAGGUUGGCCGGCCACAUUGGGACUGAGACACGGCCCAGACUCCUACGGGAGGCAGCAGUGGGGAAUAUUGGGCAAUGGGCGCAAGCCUGACCCAGCAACGCCGCGUGAAGGAAGAAGGCUUUCGGGUUGUAAACUUCUUUUAUCAGGGACGAAGCAAGUGACGGUACCUGAUGAAUAAGCCACGGCUAACUACGUGCCAGCAGCCGCGGUAAUACGUAGGUGGCGAGCGUUAUCCGGAUUUACUGGGUGUAAAGGGCGUGUAGGCGGGAAUGCAAGUCAAAUGUGAAAACUAUGGGCUCAACCCAUAGCCUGCAUUUG